RNAcentral lists this ribosomal RNA (253 nucleotides) under uncultured bacterium. RNAcentral's name for it is "partial 16S ribosomal RNA". It matches the Rfam family "Bacterial small subunit ribosomal RNA", at positions 524 to 776 of the family's 1533-position model. The record is from RNAcentral.
UACGAAGGGGGCUAGCGUUGCUCGGAAUCACUGGGCGUAAAGCGCACGUAGGCGGCUUUUUAAGUCAGGGGUGAAAUCCUGGAGCUCAACUCCAGAACUGCCUUUGAUACUGAGAAGCUUGAGUCCGGGAGAGGUGAGUGGAACUGCGAGUGUAGAGGUGAAAUUCGUAGAUAUUCGCAAGAACACCAGUGGCGAAGGCGGCUCACUGGCCCGGUACGGACGCUGAGGUGCGAAAGCGUGGGGAGCAAACAGG